RNAcentral lists this ribosomal RNA (460 nucleotides) under uncultured bacterium. RNAcentral's name for it is "partial 16S ribosomal RNA". It matches the Rfam family "Bacterial small subunit ribosomal RNA", at positions 338 to 795 of the family's 1533-position model. The record is from RNAcentral.
CCUACGGGGGGCUGCAGUGAGGAAUAUUGGUCAAUGGACGAGAGUCUGAACCAGCCAAGUAGCGUGAAGGAUGACUGCCCUAUGGGUUGUAAACUUCUUUUAUAUGGGAAUAAAAUGUUCCACGUGUGGGAUUUUGUAUGUACCAUAUGAAUAAUGAUCGGCUAACUCCGUGCCAGCAGCCGCGGUAAUACGGAGGAUCCGAGCGUUAUCCGGAUUUAUUGGGUUUAAAGGGAGCGUAGGUGGAUUGUUAAGUCAGUUGUGAAAGUUUGCGGCUCAACCGUAAAAUUGCAGUUGAAACUGGCAGUCGUGAGUACAGUAGAGGUGGGCGGAAUUCGUGGUGUAGCGGUGAAAUGCUUAGAUAUCACGAAGAACUCCGAUUGCGAAGGCAGCUCACUGGACUGCAACUGACACUGAGGCUCGAAAGUGUGGGUAUCAAACAGGAUUAGAUACCCUUGUAGUC